Cucurbita moschata (crookneck pumpkin) is the source of this 2377-nucleotide RNA transcript. It is a transcript of the gene named F-box/LRR-repeat protein At4g29420, with no coding region annotated. The transcript has 3 exons. Lineage: Eukaryota; Viridiplantae; Streptophyta; Magnoliopsida; Cucurbitales; Cucurbitaceae. The record is from RefSeq and is a predicted model, not a curated record.
GUCCAUUAUUUGUUCUUUAUGUUUGUCCGUACAGGAGAAACCAAAAUGAAUAUUCUCUGUAACCGUUGUUCGUUAAUCGCAAUGAUUCAAUCUCACCGCCAACGAAGAGAUGCGUGAAUUUAUCGCCACAAAUUCACAAAAUUCAUAAACGUUCUUCUGUUUUUCGCCAUGGAUGAUCUUCCGCCUUCGUUAGUUCUCGAAAUCCUGAAUCGACUGGCCGAUUCCGCCGAUUUGGCUCGGUGUCGUGUGGCUUCCAAAUCUCUUAAUGUUCUUUCUCGUGAGGUUAGGUCAGUGAACCUCUUUUGUUCAUUGGAUCGAUAUCUCAAGUCUAGGGCUGUGGAGACGAGGUUGUUAGUAAUGCCUUUCAAGGUCAUAUUGAAGAGUCUGAUGAACGAUUUUGUGGCUCUUGAUUCUGUGUCGAUCGGUGUGGAGAAGUCACUUGGACGGAUUUCGUAUGAGCACGACGAUGUUGAGGAUUGGUCUGAUGACUUGUUCUUGACGGAUGUUGGUUUCGCUAGGGAAUGGCUGCCGGCGAUUGGUAGAGGUUUGACUUCCUUGUCGAUAGUGGAUUUUUGGGUUCAAUCAUGCUGGAGGCAAUCGAAGAUUUUGGCGCUAAUUACUUUAUGCUGUGGCAAUCUUCAGGAACUUGAAUUGAAGAAUGCUUGGUUGUCAGUGGAUGGUCUGAAUAGAUUGAAUUCCCUCAAGUGUCUGACCCUAGAAUUUAUAAGAUUAGAUGAUGAAGAUCUGAGCGAGGUUAACUAUAACUUCCCUCAUCUUGAAAUUCUUAAUUUGAUAGGGGUUGGGGGCCUAAAUGAACCAAAAAUUCAUCUGUCACACCUUAAAACCUGUCGAUGGACAGUGUCAAAUGCUCCAGUUUCUCUGAGCAUAUGUGCACCAAGCCUAUCAAAACUUGAACUGAAGUGUGUCAAACCAAAAUCUCUUAUUAUCCAAACUCCCAUGCUAUCUGAUUUUCAUUUUUGUCUACAAGAUGCAAGUGGGUUACAAGUUAAUGAAUUCCCUUGCUUGAGAAAGCUUCAGCUUCAUUUUCCGUGUCUUUACAGUCUCAUCACAACAUUUUCAUCUGCAAGAACUAUAAAGGAACUCACUCUCAAUACAAUGCAACGUGCUGAAUCUGUUGAAUCUGUUAAGCUUUGCCUUGAUACACUGUUUGAAAUAUUUCCAAAUCUUAGCUUUCUUAAAUUGGGUCCAGGAGUUUUGUCAGAAGCCGAGACUUGUUAUCAAGCUGAAGGUUUGGAUGGACGGAUAGGGAUGAGAGAUUUGAAAAAGCUUCAUGCUAGCCUUGAAACCUACAAGAUUGAGUUAAAACUUCCAUUUAUCAUUCCCAUUUUGGAAAAAUGUACCGACUCCCUCGAUAUGGAAUUGCUCAUCUAUCGCAAUGCCGAUUCUCACCUUGCUGGUGGAAUCAUGUCAAAACGUGCAGUUAAUCAUCCAAGACCAAAAUGGAGAUGGGAACUGUGGAAGGAAGGAUUAAAAGAACCGUGGGCUAAAGGGCAUUUAAGCUGUCAAGUGUAAUUGUCAUAGUGGUGGGACAAACUCUUGCUCCUGAAGGUGCAAAGCUUCAAAAGAGGCAAAUCCAUGUCAUUUAAAAACUAAGCCUACCCAUCUUUUGAAAUUGGCAGACUUAUGGGGGUUCUAAAGAACGCCAAAGAACUCAGUAGAUCAAUGGAUGACCCAAAAGCAAUCCUACAUAUGAUACCAGGUCUAUAAAAUUACUUUUUUGAUCUUUUAUGUUCAGAUCUUUGCUCGAAGUCUCCUGUUGAUACUUGGUUCGAGAAAAACUGUUGCUGCUGCUGCUGCUGAGCAAUUUGAAAAAAGGGUCAGUUCUUUUGCACCUUCAUUUUAUACUCUACAAGAUAUCCUUAAUAAUUGCAAUGAUCAGUGUGUACAUAUUUCCAACCAAAUAAUGACAUUUGUUCCCGAUACAAGAUUGAAUGUCUGAUGCCUCUUAUUUGGAUAGAGAAAGAUUAGUUUGUACUAUAAACUAUUUCAUUCAUUAACCUGAAUGCUAUUCUCAGUGAUUUGGUUGUAUGGGGUUUACAUACUUGAAAAUAUUCUUUCAGUGACAGAGCUGGUAUUAAUUAGAUGGUUACACUGCUCAUGAAGUCAAGUCACUUUGCCAGAGUUUCAGGUUGCUGUGAGCUCCACCCUUUCGAUCAACCUGUAAGGAUACUUUCUUACCUCUUUUGAUUGAAACUAAAGGGAAAACAUGGUUCCAACUAGAAUACAACACAGCCCAGCCAAUUCAAGAGAGCCGGGUGCAGCUGUAGAGGGAAGAGAUAGGAGUAAUCAGAUACGUUGACACUGCUCAUGAUGUCAAAUUGUCAUGCUGGUUCAGAAAUUUUAAGUUCCUGGGUAG